ACAACUUUCAGCGACGGAUAUCUCGGCUCAGGCACCUAUGAAGGGCGCAGCGAAGUGCGAUAGUCUUUGUGAAUUGCAGAUCUCCGUGAACCAAUGGCCCCUGAACGCGCAUCGCACUCUUGGGACUUCCUGAGAGUAUGUUUGCUUCAGUGCUU
This 155-nucleotide ribosomal RNA is filed under the name Symbiodinium sp. clade D. RNAcentral describes it as "Durusdinium sp. clade D 5.8S ribosomal RNA". It matches the Rfam family "5.8S ribosomal RNA". From Rfam's summary of the family: 5.8S ribosomal RNA (5.8S rRNA) is a component of the large subunit of the eukaryotic ribosome. The record is from RNAcentral. Lineage: Eukaryota; Dinophyceae; Suessiales; Symbiodiniaceae.